CAGCCGCCACGGGAACACGGAGGAUCCAAGCGUUAUCCGGAUUUAUUGGGUUUAAAGGGUGCGUAGGUGGCCUGUUAAGUCAGGGGUGAAAGACGGUAGCUCAACUAUCGCAGUGCCCUUGAUACUGAUGGGCUUGAAUGAACUAGAGGUAGGCGGAAUGUGACAAGUAGCGGUGAAAUGCAUAGAUAUGUCACAGAACACCAAUUGCGAAGGCAGCUUACUAUGGUUUGAUUGACACUGAGGCACGAAAGCGUGGGGAGCAAACAGGAUUAGAUACCCCCGUAGUCCCUGUCUCUUAUAC
RNAcentral lists this ribosomal RNA (301 nucleotides) under uncultured bacterium. RNAcentral describes it as "partial 16S ribosomal RNA". It matches the Rfam family "Bacterial small subunit ribosomal RNA", at positions 509 to 807 of the family's 1533-position model. The record is from RNAcentral.